UACGGAGGGCGCAAGCGUUAAUCGGAAUUACUGGGCGUAAAGCGCACGUAGGCGGUUUGUUAAGCCAGCUGUGAAAUCCCCGGGCUCAACCUGGGACUUGCAGUUGGAACUGGCGAGCUAGAGUAGGGUAGAGGGGUGUGGAAUUCCAGGUGUAGCGGUGAAAUGCGUAGAUAUCUGGAGGAACAUCAGUGGCGAAGGCGACACCCUGGACUCAUACUGACGCUGAGGCGCGAUAGCGUGGGGAGCAAACAGG
Molecule: ribosomal RNA, 253 nt
Filed under: uncultured bacterium
Lineage: Bacteria
Description: partial 16S ribosomal RNA
Rfam family: Bacterial small subunit ribosomal RNA
Source: RNAcentral